RNAcentral lists this long non-coding RNA (2227 nucleotides) under Nicotiana tabacum (common tobacco). RNAcentral describes it as "long non-coding RNA (NTAB_LNC005867)". The record is from RNAcentral. Lineage: Eukaryota; Viridiplantae; Streptophyta; Magnoliopsida; Solanales; Solanaceae.
UGGUGAAUUAUAAUUAAGGUUAAGUCAAGGUGAAACAACAAUAUUCAUAGCUAAAUCACAACCCCAGAGCUAUGGGUUUUAUCCACUCAUGAUAAUAUCAAAACUAAUUCAUAAAUGUUGAAUAAUUAAAAAUAAUAAGAAAAGAUGAAGAAAACUGAGAUAUCCUCGCUCCCGAAUGUUCCUCGUGUGUAUUUUUCCUCUAAAGUGGCGUACCCCCCUUCAAAAUAGGCUUAGUCUUGCUUUUAUACGCGUUGGGUAGGUCUUGUGCUGAAAUAACCUUGUCCCCGGCAAGUUGGAAACAUUUCUGUCACCAGCGCCCAAGGCAGCGUGGGGCACUAGCCCUGGCGCUGGCAAAUUGAGCAUUCUGUAAACGGCGCCACAGGUGGCGUGGGGCGCUGGAAUUCAACAUUUUCCAUUUUUUCUCCGUUUUGGCUCAUAUCUCGCAUCUUUCGCCCCCUAUUUCCUCCAGAUAAUUCCUACACAUAAGAACACCACGAAUUAACAUAAAUCAAUAUAUUUUACAUCUGAAAUUCACGAAACGCGAGAAAAACAUGAGGCGAUAUAUAUAUACUUUAAGAUAAAUAUCAACACCCCACACUCAGACUCUUGCUCAUCCUCGAGCAAUGGGACUAUCAAAUAUACCUCAACCACGUACAAAUCUCAACUAGAGAGGAACACUUCAAUUUGUUUUACCAUACACGCUACCCUUGACUAUGAUCGACACCGAAAAUCAAGCAUGAACAUACAAAAUUCACAUUCUUAUUAUUUUAAACAUGUCCAAGUCUAUCAUUUCAAUUCAAUCAAUAUAAUCCAAACAACCUAUCUGUAACCACCCUACCUCAAGAGCUGACUCGUUACCACUAAGCACUCAACUUGUGCACUCACCCAACAAGAGACGUUUACAACAUUAGCAAUCCUCCACGAGAUCAUGUGGCCUUACAAACAAACAAAAGAAUGAAUAUAGAAUAGUCUACAUAUUCAAGUAUUCCUUUGAAUAUAAAUUAAGGACAUCACACAAUUAAACAAAAUUCGCUCACUCUCAUAAAGAAUUUCUGUGCAUUCCAUGGUCGUACUAUAAGUUUGCCCGUAGUGUACAUCUCUACUAAUCUAAGCUAGCCAAAUCAAGAAUCAUUUAGGACUGUAAGAUUGUAAUGUAGGCUAAGGAACAUGUAGGAUACAUUUAGUGCACCAAAUGGCCUUUUUAUGGUUCCACUUGAAAGCUACUCCCCAAUUUCUCACCUUACUUCUUUAAGGCCACAUGGAGGAUUAGAGUGAAAAAGGAAAGGGAUGACAAGAAAUUGAAUGGAGAAAAUGCGAACAAAGGAGGGGAAACACAAUCAGAGGAUAGGGUAUAAGACAAAAGUAAUAAUGUACAAAGGGAAGUAGAAUAGCAAAGUAAUUCAAAAGAUAGUAACCAAUGGGAACAACAAAAGAAGAAAAAGAUAAGCAGAAAGAAAAAUCAUGUGGAGAAAAUGAUAAGGAGAAUGGGAAUGGUGUACAGCAGUGUGGAACAUCAAGGAACAAAACAAAAAAGAAGGCGGUGACACAAAAGGAGAAUCAGACAAAGAAACAUACCGAGGAGAAUACAGAAGAUAAAAGGCAUCAAAAGGAAAAUGAAACUAAAGAUAACAAAGGACAAAAAGAAAAUGCAUGAAAUCAAAAGCAACAAACUCCAAAAUACAACAAUGAGCAAGAUAAUCACUCAAGAACAUUUGGAGGGGUUCAACAUCAGGAUCUAUUCCAUGACUGCGGCCGGGACAAUAAAGACACAUUAUAAGAAAGUCAGCUAUCCAGAAUACCCCGAAUCCCCUGAACAAACCAGGAAUCAGAUUAUCCCACAACCAUUAUCUCCAUCUGCUCUUUAAGUCUUGAAUAGAAGCAUAAGGAUAGAUAAGAAAGCUGAUAUUGGGAGUGCAAAUGAAUCAUAAGAAGGGGAGCAUAAAAGUUCUGAUCAAGAAUAUGUAGAAGAGGAGAGUGAAUCAGAUGAGUUAGAGAGUGUAGAGGAGGAAUCUAUCUCAGAUGAUGAAACUGCAAAGAAGUUGAUUGAAGUUUUCACCUCCAAAGCUGAUCCAAUGAGGUUGAUAAAGCAUUUGGGGAGGUGAUUGAAAAGGGCCACAUAUCACCAAGAGGAGCCAAAUCCAAUAGAAGAGGUAGAGCUAGCAGAGAUGGUAGGGGAGGUAAAGAAGGAAUAUCAAAUGUUCAACAAAUAGUGAAUACAUCACAGGCC